UACAGAGGUCUCAAGCGUUGUUCGGAUUCAUUGGGCGUAAAGGGUGUGUAGGUGGCGCGCUAAGUCGGGUGUGAAAUUUCGGAGCUUAACUCCGAAACUGCAUUCGAUACUGGCGUGCUUGAGGACUGGAGAGGAGACUGGAAUUCAUGGUGUAGCAGUGAAAUGCGUAGAGAUCAUGAGGAAGACCAGUGGCGAAGGCGGGGUCUCUGGACAGUUCCUGACACUGAGACACGAAGGCCAGGGGAGCAAACGGG
Molecule: ribosomal RNA, 254 nt
Filed under: uncultured bacterium
Lineage: Bacteria
Description: partial 16S ribosomal RNA
Rfam family: Bacterial small subunit ribosomal RNA
Source: RNAcentral